GUAUUUCUGUGUUGCAUAUGGGCUGGGGUCCCUCCUGUCCUUCUCUCCUACACGAUCCCAGAUCUGAUUUCUAAUGGUGUUGUAUUUCCUCCCUAAAUCAUUUUUCAAUAGUAUUUUUGUUCUUCUGUGGGAUACAGAAGAACUUUUUUUUCCUAUUGCAAUAAGGACAAGUAAACAAGUCAGAAGCCUCAGAAGACCUCAAGAGAGAAAUCACAGCCUUCAAUUCCUGGUCCCUUUCUGAAACCUCAGCUCUUGAUUCACUUAAUUUCAAGGAGAAUUGUUUUAUGACUACGCCAAGCUGACCCAAAGACCCCUGGGAAGCACGUGGCCCAUCAGAGGGAAGGGCUAGGCCCUGGGGCUGGAAAGGAUGCAGAGCCUGUUUUCAACAAUUACGUCUACAUUUUCCAAGAGAUUAAACCGAUUGGAAGCCAAGCAUUGGAGAAGAGAUCUUUUGUCUUCCUUGGCAACAUUUCUGAAAUCUACAGAUAGGGAUGAGGAAGUGAGGCACAUUUUUCAUCUGUUCCAACAAACUGCCAAUGGAAUGGCUGACAUGCCAUUUUAGUGUAUGUCAUCUCUCCCGUGUUCCGUCAUCACUGAGGGUCAGCUGGGCCCUGCCCUUGAAUACAGCACAGGGCUGGUGUCAUGGAGCCGGCCUUCCUUACACUAAUGAACCGCAGGAGCCUCCCCUUGUCCCUUGCCUGGGGGGAACUAAUGGCAUUGCAGGGCAAAGGCUCAGCAGGGACCCUGUAGAUAGAGGAUAGAUCGGCACCCAGGCGUCUUACAGGGUGGACCCCAUGCUGGCAGGGUGGGAAGCCAGAGAAAAGAGGCUUGGAAGAAGCAAAGGGAACUCUCAAGAGGGUGCAGAGAUGAACGUGGCUUGCACCUGGAGAAUUCCCAGCCAAUGUGAGCUUGACGCCCCUCUCCUUUCCACCAAUCAGAUGGCACUACCACCUCCUCCUAAUUCCUCUACCAAUGAAAACUAGGUUCCUUUACCUUAUCCACCAAUCAGGGCUUUGGACAAAGAAUAAUCUUAUCAAACCCCACAUGGAUUCACACGCAUCUGGUAGCUUGGUUGUUGGUAAGUCUCUGCAUGGCAAGCUGGGUCUCCAAGUCUUUAUUGUUAUGCUUCUAUCGUUUGGAGGCAGAAGGGGAGAUGGGAGAGCUAAAAGCCCAGGUCCCUUUCUUCCCUGAAAACCCUGAAAAAAGUUUCUGCCUAUGUGAAAAAGAAGGGGUUUAGUGGACAGUCAUCAUAAGCCAACAGUGAUAUGUGGGCGUCAUGCUAAUGCCGUGGCUUAGGCUGCACUGAUACACAUUUAUCAAACCAAUACAUUGCCAACGGAAUGGCUGACACGCCGCUUUAAUGUAUGUCAUCUCUGUGUUCGGUGAGCGCAGUGAUGUCCUUCAAGGAAGGACUUGUUGCCUUGGCUGCUGCGCUGCCAUGAGCGGGGCUCUGACUAUGGUGAGAUUAGCUGGUGACCUCGCACCCGUCAUACCAGUUGGGCUGUAAUGACUCCUAGAGACAGUCGCUCAAGAUAGCUCUGUGUGUUUGUUUCAUAAAUAAGCUCCAUGGCAAAUUCGCAUUGUUUUUCCCCAAAUAAGCAAUUCCGAAGGCUGGGCCUUCACUGAGAGCUUGCAUCUCUGCAUAAACUGCCUCUGGGCUUUGGGACCUGCUUUAGCUUCCAGGAGCUGCUCUUCAAGACCACAUUCCUCCCCAGAGCAGCCCUGUCAACAUCCAGGGACAGAUGAAAGCCCGAGUAUGAAGACCUGACCAUCUCCCCCGAAAUCAGGAAACUCUGAAGAGCAUUCUAGCUCCAAAGAUUCCUGUGGGUUGGCUGGGGCUGUCCUUGGACCUGUAGUACAGCCCAGGUCCUCCCACUGCCCACACCCGCUCUUGCCUCCUCUCUUACACAGGUGUUGGUCUGAGGGCACUUGUACAGGCUAAACUCCAUCUGAGUCCGCUUCCCAGGAAAACCAGCCUGCAGGGAAACCAUGCCAGUUCUCUGUGCUACUUGCAUCUCCCUUGCAGAGCUGCCUUCAGAAUCUGGACAAAGAUUUUGGUCAAUUUAUAAAGUUUAUUUUAUUUAUUUAUUUAUUUUUUGAAAUGGAAUCUCACUCUGUCGCCCAGGCUGGAGUACAGUGACGCGAUCUUGGCUCUCUGCAGCCUGCGCCUCCAGAGUUCAGGUGAUUCUCGUGCCUCAGCUUCCCCAGUAGCUGGCACUACAGGCACGUGCCACCACACCCAGCUAAUUUUUCUUCUUUUUGUAUUUUUAGUAGGGAUGGGGUUUCACCAUGUUGGCCAGGCUGGUCUCUAACUCCUGACCUCAAGUGACCUGCCCGCUUUGGCCUCCCAAAGUGCUGGGAUUACAGGCGUGAGCCACCACGCCCAGCCUAAUUUAUAAAGUUUCUGUUUGUCACAGCUGGCUGAAAUGUGAUAGACAUCUUCUGAAGGUGAGGUCAUCUUCUAAGGAAGAUGUUCAAAGGAAAACUGACUAUUGGAAAGAUAAGGGAUGGGUGAGGGGUGAAAUCAGGAAUCUUGCGGGCAGAUGGACGAGAUGCCCUCUGUCAGACCUCUGAGGCCAAGCUAAGCCGUCAUAUCCCCUGUGACCCUCACGUAUACAUCCAGAUGGCCUGAAGCAACUGAAGAUCCACAGAAUAAGUGAAAAUAGCCACUUAUUAGUUCCUGCCUCAACUGAUGACAUUCCACCAUUGUGACUUGUUCCUGCCCCACCCUAACUGAUCAAUUGACUUUGUGACAUUCCUUCUCCUGGACAAUGAAUCUCAGGAGCUCCCCACCAGCACCUUGUGACCCCCGCCCCUGCCCGCAAGAGAACACCCCCUUUCACUGUAAUUUUCCACGACCUGCCCGAAUCCUAUAAAACUGCCUCACCCCGAUCUCCCUUUGCUGACUCCUUUUACGGACUCAGUCUGCCUGCAUCCAGGUGAUUAAAAGCUUUAUUGCUCACACGAA
Long non-coding RNA from Homo sapiens (human), 2968 nucleotides. NCBI's taxonomy places the organism in Eukaryota, Metazoa, Chordata, Mammalia, Primates, Hominidae. The record is from Ensembl.